This 497-nucleotide ribosomal RNA is filed under the name uncultured bacterium. RNAcentral describes it as "partial 16S ribosomal RNA". It matches the Rfam family "Bacterial small subunit ribosomal RNA", at positions 28 to 507 of the family's 1533-position model. The record is from RNAcentral.
GAUGAACGCUGGCGGCGUGCCUAAUACAUGCAAGUCGAGCGAACAGACGAGGAGCUUGCUCCUCUAACGUUAGCGGCGGACGGGUGAGUAACACGUGGAUAACCUACCUAUAAGACUGGGAUAACUUCGGGAAACCGGAGCUAAUACCGGAUAAUAUAUUGAACCGCAUGGUUCAAUAGUGAAAGACGGUUUUGCUGUCACUUAUAGAUGGAUCCGCGCCGCAUUAGCUAGUUGGUAAGGUAACAGCUUACCAAGGCAACGAUGCGUAGCCGACCUGAGAGGGUGAUCGGCCACACUGGAACUGAGACACGGUCCAGACUCCUACGGGAGGCAGCAGUAGGGAAUCUUCCGCAAUGGGCGAAAGCCUGACGGAGCUACGCCGCGUGAGUGAUGAAGGUCUUCGGAUCGUAAAACUCUGUUAUUAGGGAAGAACAAAUGUGUAAGUAACUAUGCACGUCUUGACGGUACCUAAUCAGAAAGCCACGGCUAACUACGUG